Adelges cooleyi (spruce gall adelgid) is the source of this 644-nucleotide long non-coding RNA. RefSeq lists it as uncharacterized. The transcript is spliced from 3 exons. The record is from RefSeq and is a predicted model, not a curated record. NCBI's taxonomy places the organism in Eukaryota, Metazoa, Arthropoda, Insecta, Hemiptera, Adelgidae.
UAUAAAUGUGUAGUUUUGUGUUUUAACAUAUUGGUAUCUGAAUUCAAAGAAAAAAUAUAAAAUUUUUUAUGAAAAAAUUGAAUCUUCAAUCAUCAUUUACUGAAUCAAUAAUAGUAUGUUCAAUAUUAAUAUGGACUAUCUCAACUUAAAUUGAUAUUUGUUAUUGUCUACAACUACACUACUACCAACGUCAAAUUUGGUGUAUUAUAUUAUUGUAGUCAAUCAGUCUAAUCUAAUUCUAUCAAUACAUUGUCGAAUGUUGUGGUAUUCAAUUUUCAGUAAAUUUAUAGGUGUUUUAUUUUAAGUUACUGUGGCACACUAUUGCAGAUAACGGUUUUCCAUUAAGUCAGUAAGAAGAAUAAGAUGGAUUCACAAGUUCAAAUCAAAUAUUAGACAACUAUAUAUAUUUAGUUAUUCAGCUAAAAAUGUAAUUCAAUAAAAUAAUUUAAAAGUACUUUAUCAUUUUAAAAGUGACAUAAAGUUUUUAAACACACAUAUACUUAACAUAUCUAUAAUUAUUAUACAUUAUUUAUUAAUUAUUAAUGAUGAAUUCUUUAUUUAAUAUUAAUUUAAUCUAAAAUGCUGCUGAGAAUGUUAAUAUUUCUAAAAUAUGUUAUUGUCUUAAUCCAAAUCUUGAAAUUAUU